Molecule: transfer RNA, 77 nt
Filed under: candidate division WWE3 bacterium
Lineage: Bacteria; candidate division WWE3
Description: tRNA-Arg
Rfam family: tRNA
About the family: Transfer RNA (tRNA) molecules are approximately 80 nucleotides in length. Their secondary structure includes four short double-helical elements and three loops (D, anti-codon, and T loops). Further hydrogen bonds mediate the characteristic L-shaped molecular structure. tRNAs have two regions of fundamental functional importance: the anti-codon, which is responsible for specific mRNA codon recognition, and the 3' end, to which the tRNAs corresponding amino acid is attached (by aminoacyl-tRNA synthetases). tRNAs cope with the degeneracy of the genetic code in two manners: having more than one tRNA (with a specific anti-codon) for a particular amino acid; and 'wobble' base-pairing, i.e. permitting non-standard base-pairing at the 3rd anti-codon position.
Source: RNAcentral
GCCCCAGUAGCUCAGUAGGAUAGAGCAACUCCCUUCUAAGGAGUAGGUCAGAGGUUCGACUCCUCUCUGGGGCACCA